UACUCUAUAAGUCUGUUUCAUUCAUUGCAACAACAAACUGUUGGUGAUGAUCUUAAUCGACUGAGUGAGAAACAAACAAAAUGAUAAUUUUAGUCAUUUGCCUGACUUUAAACUCUGUUCUGGUGUCAGGUAAUCUCUUCAAAGCUUGUGAUUUUUUGUUAUUUUGUAUCAUGUUACCUUUGGACUGUUAAAUAUACUGUACAAACAUCUUCCUUUCCACAUACCAUUGCACAGUAUUGUUCUGAACAUUCAAUAUCAUCCUAAUCAUAUAUUAUUUGUUAAGUUUGUUGUUUUCCUCAUCUCUAGUUGCAAGUCUGUUUCUGUGUAGUGCACUGAGAAAAACUACAACUAAAACUACUGUGAUUCUCUUGCAUUUUAAUGUUAUCACGUUUUUUUUUCUUAAUUUAAGUGUCUAUUUUUCGACAGGUUCCUCCAAAGUCCACCAGACUCCAGCUGAACUCUUCCAGAAUGUGCGAGAAGAAGCCAAACUGACGUGUUCGCACGAUAUUCAAAACUACGAUCGAAUCCUCUGGUACAAGCAAACCGACACGCAGCUUCAGUUUCUGGGAUAUAUGUUUUAUAACAACGCAUAUCCAGAGGACGGAGCGGGUGUGAAGAUAGACGAUCAUGUGUAGCAUUGAUUUCUGAGGAUGUGCACAAACGAGGCAGCCGUCAAGCACCCAAUGGCUGAUUUACACCAUGAUGUCAAGAGGAGGAGGAAACACUAUGGCACCACCUACAUACUUAUAGAAGGCUAUGGGAAGGUUUACUCAAAGAGGAAGUUGAAACGGCAGCAACAAGUUCAUGAUCUUAUAUAUAAUAAAACCAAACAUUCACCAGAAGACGACAUGAUCAUCUUAUUCCUAAGCAUCACUUUUAACACAGCUCUGGUUUCAGGCGCCUCUCUCAGCGACCAAGUCCACCAGACUCCACCUGUCAUGUUCAGCAAACCAGACGAAAGAGCCAAAAUCAGCUGCACACACAAUAUAGACAGCUAUAACCAAAUCCUCUGGUACAAGCAGACAAACGGAGAGCUC
Acanthopagrus latus (yellowfin seabream) is the source of this 1037-nucleotide long non-coding RNA. RefSeq lists it as uncharacterized. The record is from RefSeq and is a predicted model, not a curated record. NCBI's taxonomy places the organism in Eukaryota, Metazoa, Chordata, Actinopteri, Spariformes, Sparidae. The transcript has 3 exons.